GAAUUAAGCUUUCUCGUAUCGUAAUGUUAUAUUAAAUUGUAAUUAAUACAUUCCAUCACUCAAAUAAAAGUAAAAUAAUUAUUAACUCGGAUAUAAGAAGUGAAACUAGCUGUAAAGUGACUACAAGUGUUCAUUCUCGGCUUAAAAUAAAUAAAUAGGUAACAAGUAAAUUAAGUGAAUUACGCCUUAGCGAUCGUGUUGUCAUGUGUCGAAUUCAAAGAGAAAGUAGGUAUACAAUAGAGCCCGAUGACGGCGACGUUUGUUUGUUCUGGAUCUGAGCACGUGCCCCGCGCGGGCGAGCGGCCCGCGCCUGUUGCGCAACACCACAAGCAACACGGCGCACGGCGCAAGCCCGGCCAAAGUUGCCUUCCUACCUGCCGUGCCUUACUGUCGGCACAUUUUUUAUCGCAAUUAUUCCAAUUUAUCUACGUAGAACUAAUUCCACUAUUGAGCAAGAGCCAGUGAUCGCCAGACCUACGUUAUUUAAUAAAAGCUGAAAGUUUGUCAACCCAACAAAGAUCAUCAUGAAGUUUGCGACAUCAUGCAGGCUUUGUCAGCUACCCUAAAAUGCUGGCCUGGCAAGGCUUUGGAACGGUCAAAACUAUCGCUCUUGCCUGAGGAAACAUAAUAUAAUUAUUGCCCAAAUAUUAUUUAUAAUAGAAUAUUUUUUACUUAGACUAAACAAAACUAAACAAAAAGUAACACUACCUCAGUUACUUUUUGUUUAGUCUAAGUAAAAAAUAUUCUAGUUAUCUUAAGAGUUUAAUAUGUAACUGUUAAUUGCCAUGUACCGUGUGUCCUCACUAUAUUUUAUCAACAUUGUUAACCUGUGUUACUUAAGGCUGCCGCGACACAAGCACAGCUUAGUGCAGCAGCCGCUAGAUAAACAGACUGUAAAUU
Molecule: long non-coding RNA, 900 nt
Organism: Ostrinia furnacalis (Asian corn borer)
Lineage: Eukaryota; Metazoa; Arthropoda; Insecta; Lepidoptera; Crambidae
Exons: 2
Source: RefSeq, a predicted model, not a curated record